GCACCUGUAGCUCAGCUGGAUAGAGCGCUGCCCUCCGAAGGCAGAGGUCAGAGGUUCGAAUCCUCUCAGGUGCGCCA
Molecule: transfer RNA, 77 nt
Filed under: Tritonibacter multivorans
Lineage: Bacteria; Pseudomonadati; Pseudomonadota; Alphaproteobacteria; Rhodobacterales; Paracoccaceae
Also listed under: 1 other name
Description: Epibacterium multivorans tRNA_Arg_CCG
Rfam family: tRNA
About the family: Transfer RNA (tRNA) molecules are approximately 80 nucleotides in length. Their secondary structure includes four short double-helical elements and three loops (D, anti-codon, and T loops).
Source: RNAcentral